RNAcentral lists this ribosomal RNA (113 nucleotides) under Nanobdellota archaeon. Its description in RNAcentral is "partial 16S ribosomal RNA". It matches the Rfam family "Archaeal small subunit ribosomal RNA", at positions 1 to 116 of the family's 1478-position model. Lineage: Archaea; Nanobdellati; Nanobdellota. The record is from RNAcentral.
AUACCCGUUGAUCCUGCGGGAGACCGCUGCUAUUCGGAUUCGGUUAAGCCAUGCAAGUCUGGGGGAGCAAUCCACCGGCACACGGCUCAGUAACACGUCGAUAAUCUGCCCUU